UGAGAUACUCCGUUAAUUUGUACUGGAUACU
Molecule: non-coding RNA, 31 nt
Filed under: Rattus norvegicus (Norway rat)
Lineage: Eukaryota; Metazoa; Chordata; Mammalia; Rodentia; Muridae
Source: RNAcentral